UCGAAGCCUAGAAAGCACGACCGCGAACGAGUUUCAAUCCGGGGCAGCGUCGGGAAGCCCCAGGGCGACCCCUCGUUCCCUCGAUCGGGAGGCUUGCCUUCCGAACCUAACGAACCCCGGCGCGGCAAGCGCCAAGGAAUCAUAACGAAAGGACUUGCCCCGCGGCCGUCCUCGGGUUGGGGGGAAAGAGUCUAUUCAAACGAAUCAUAACGACUCUCGGCAACGGAUAUCUCGGCUCUCGCAUCGAUGAAGAACGUAGCAAAAUGCGAUACUUGGUGUGAAUUGCAGAAUCCCGUGAAUCAUCGAGUCUUUGAACGCAAGUUGCGCCCGAAGCCUUUAGGCCGAGGGCACGUCUGCCUGGGCGUCAUGCACUGCGAUGCCCCCCGCAAUGGGGAGCAGAGCAUGGCCUCCCGUGAGCCCAUCUCGCGGAUGGCUUAAAAGCGAGCAUCGAGACGGCGAGCCAUCGCGACAAGUGGUGGUUUACAAGGCCUUUGGCCUUCGAGCAUUUGCAAGUCGCGUCCUCGCCCCUCUGUCGCUCCCGAGUAAAACCUUCACGGAGCGCUCGCGCGCUGCCAGCAUC
RNAcentral lists this unclassified non-coding RNA (580 nucleotides) under Sedum debile. RNAcentral describes it as "sequence contains ITS1, 5.8S rRNA gene and ITS2". The stretch from base 212 to 367 matches the Rfam family "5.8S ribosomal RNA". The record is from RNAcentral. Lineage: Eukaryota; Viridiplantae; Streptophyta; Magnoliopsida; Saxifragales; Crassulaceae.